RNAcentral lists this ribosomal RNA (253 nucleotides) under uncultured bacterium. RNAcentral describes it as "partial 16S ribosomal RNA". It matches the Rfam family "Bacterial small subunit ribosomal RNA", at positions 524 to 776 of the family's 1533-position model. The record is from RNAcentral.
UACAGAGGUCUCAAGCGUUGUUCGGAUUCACUGGGCGUAAAGGGCGCGUAGGCGGCCUGUUAAGUCGAACGUGAAAUCCCCGGGCUCAACCCGGGAACUGCGUCCGAUACUGGCAGGCUUGAAUCCGGGAGAGGGAUGCGGAAUUCCAGGUGUAGCGGUGAAAUGCGUAGAUAUCUGGAGGAACACCGGUGGCGAAGGCGGCAUCCUGGACCGGCAUUGACGCUGAGGCGCGAAAGCCAGGGGAGCAAACGGG